RNAcentral lists this ribosomal RNA (180 nucleotides) under uncultured Glomeromycotina. Its description in RNAcentral is "partial small subunit ribosomal RNA". Lineage: Eukaryota; Fungi; Glomeromycota. The record is from RNAcentral.
GGCUUGGCUGGGUGGUCUUGCCGAAAGGUAAGCACUGCUCUGGUCGGGUCUUUCCUUCUGGGGAACCAGCGUGCUCUUAACUGAGUGCGUUGGGGAUCCAGGACUUUUACCUUGAGAAAAUUAGAGUGUUCAAAGCAGGCUAUCGCCCGAAUACAUUAGCAUGGAAUAAUAAAAUAGGAC